GUGAAGAAUCUGCCCUCCACUUUGGGAUAACUCCCGGAAACCGGGGCUAAUACCGAAUAUUGAAACAUAAGCGGCAUCGCUGAGUUUUGAAAGAAUUUCGGUGGAGGAUGACUUCGCGGCCUAUCAGCUUGUUGGUGAGGUAAUGGCUCACCAAGGCAACGACGGGUAGCCGGCCUGAGAGGGCGACCGGCCACACUGGGACUGAGACACGGCCCAGACUCCUACGGGAGGCAGCAGUGGGGAAUAUUGGGCAAUGGACGCAAGUCUGACCCAGCGACGCCGCGUGCGGGAUGAAGGCCUUAGGGUUGUAAACCGCUUUCAGCAGGGAAGAAGCGAAAGUGACGGUACCUGCAAAAGAAGCACCGGCUAACUAUGUGCCAGCAGCCGCGGUAAUACAUAGGGUGCAAGCGUUGUCCGGAAUUAUUGGGCGUAAAGAGUUCGUAGGUGGUUCGUUACGUCGGAUGUGAAAAUCUGGGGCUCAACCCCAGACCUGCAUUCGAUACGGGCGAGCUAGAGUUUGGUAGGGGAGACUGGAAUUCCUGGUGUAGCGGUGGAAUGCGCAGAUAUCA
This 569-nucleotide ribosomal RNA is filed under the name uncultured Actinomycetes bacterium. Its description in RNAcentral is "bacterial SSU rRNA". It matches the Rfam family "Bacterial small subunit ribosomal RNA", at positions 117 to 699 of the family's 1533-position model. The record is from RNAcentral. Lineage: Bacteria; Bacillati; Actinomycetota; Actinomycetes.